GGGGAACCUGGGGCUGGAUCACCUCCUUUAAAGAAAGCUGAUUAAGCGCUUUCGGAGUACCCACACAAAUUACCUAAUCAGAAAGCACGGACAUGGGUCUGUAGCUCAGUUGGUUAGAGCGCACCCCUGAUAAGGGUGAGGUCGGUGGUUCAAAUCCACCCAGACCCACCAUUUAAAGUGGACUUUUUUCAGGCGUCGAAAAUGAUGGCUGGGAAGAGAAGACUUAAGGCUUAUCGGGGCCAUAGCUCAGCUGGGAGAGCGCCUGCCUUGCACGCAGGAGGUCGGGAGUUCGAUCCUCCCUGGCUCCACCAUUUUCUUGUCCUUGAGUGCCAAGUGUUGAACCUGAAGGUUCAACACUUUGUAUUUAACAAAGUGCUGCUCUUUAACAAUAUGGUUUAGAUUGUAGAUAGGUGAAGUCCUAUAGAAGCACGAUUUAUUGUGUGACUUUGGACGAACUUAUAGCAUAUUCAAAUUCUCAAUAAAUGAAUAUGCGGGUAUGUUGCAUUCGAACAAAGAGACCAAUACCAGCAUAACUCCAGAGUUUUUGGGGUUAUAUGGUCAAGUGAAUAAGCGCAUAU
RNAcentral lists this transfer RNA (578 nucleotides) under uncultured bacterium. RNAcentral describes it as "partial contains 16S ribosomal RNA, 16S-23S ribosomal RNA intergenic spacer, and 23S ribosomal RNA". The stretch from base 95 to 168 matches the Rfam family "tRNA". The record is from RNAcentral.